UGGGGAAUAUUGGACAAUGGGCGCAAGCCUGAUCCAGCCAUGCCGCGUGGAUGAUGAAGGCCCUAGGGUUGUAAAGUCCUUUCGACGGGGAAGAUAAUGACGGUACCCGUAGAAGAAGCCCCGGCUAACUUCGUGCCAGCAGCCGCGGUAAUACGAAGGGGGCUAGCGUUGCUCGGAAUCACUGGGCGUAAAGCGCACGUAGGCGGACUCUUAAGUCGGUGGUGAAAUCCUGGAGCUCAACUCCAGAACUGCCUUCGAUACUGAGAGUCUCGAGUCCGGAAGAGGUGGGUGGAAUUCCUAGUGUAGAGGUGAAAUUCGCAGAUAUUAGGAAGAACACCGGUGGCGAAGGCGGCCCACUGGUCCGGUACUGACGCUGAGGUGCGAAAGCGUGGGGAGCAAACAGGAUUAGAUACCCAAGUAGUCCCUGAGCGGGCUGGCAAGGCGCAU
Molecule: ribosomal RNA, 447 nt
Filed under: uncultured bacterium
Lineage: Bacteria
Description: bacterial SSU rRNA
Rfam family: Bacterial small subunit ribosomal RNA
Source: RNAcentral